This 429-nucleotide ribosomal RNA is filed under the name Actinomycetes bacterium. Its description in RNAcentral is "Actinobacteria bacterium partial 16S ribosomal RNA". It matches the Rfam family "Bacterial small subunit ribosomal RNA", at positions 355 to 776 of the family's 1533-position model. Lineage: Bacteria; Bacillati; Actinomycetota; Actinomycetes. The record is from RNAcentral.
UAGGGAAUCUUCCGCAAUGGGCGAAAGCCUGACGGAGCAACGCCGCGUGAGUGAUGAAGGUCUUCGGAUCGUAAAACUCUGUUAUUAGGGAAGAACAAUUGUGUAAGUAACUAUGCACGUCUUGACGGUACCUAAUCAGAAAGCCACGGCUAACUACGUGCCAGCAGCCGCGGUAAUACGUAGGUGGCAAGCGUUAUCCGGAAUUAUUGGGGGUAAAGCGCGCGUAGGCGGUUUUUUAAGUCUGAUGUGAAAGCCCACGGCUCAACAGGGGAGGGGCAGUGGAAACUGGAAAACUUGAGUGCAGAAGAGGAAAGUGGAAUUCCAUGUGUAGCGGUGAAAUGCGCAGAGAUAUGGAGAAACACCAGUGGCGAAGGCGACUUUCUGGUCUGUAACUGACGCUGAUGUGCGAAAGCGUGGGGAUCAAACAGG